CUCCCUGUUAUUACUAGUUGCCCUUAGACUGGUGCUAAAGGCCUUGUCAGCAAAGACAGAAACAGAAAACAUUGCAGGAUAGAGCAAUGGCCAUAGCAACAACAUCACAUUAAUCAGAGUCUGUAGUCUAUGCAAAGACAAACUUCCCAAACCAACAAACUGCACACCAACAAGUUCCCUUUCUGUCCAGAAACUAGAAACCCCGAGGUAUUUGCUCUUAGACCUCCCUUCUCCAGUGACAGUCCUUCAGCAGAGGGAGACUCCAGGCUUUGCAUCAUGGGCUGUACCCAAAGACCAAAUAGGGAUGAUGUAGCUGUGGAAGGCUGA
RNAcentral lists this long non-coding RNA (327 nucleotides) under Manacus vitellinus (golden-collared manakin). RNAcentral's name for it is "lncRNA (ENSMVIG00005006991.1)". Lineage: Eukaryota; Metazoa; Chordata; Aves; Passeriformes; Pipridae. The record is from RNAcentral.